CAGUCGAGCGGUAGAGAGAAGCUUGCUUCUCUUGAGAGCGGCGGACGGGUGAGUAAUGCCUAGGAAUCUGCCUGGUAGUGGGGGAUAACGUUCGGAAACGGACGCUAAUACCGCAUACGUCCUACGGGAGAAAGCAGGGGACCUUCGGGCCUUGCGCUAUCAGAUGAGCCUAGGUCGGAUUAGCUAGUUGGUGAGGUAAUGGCUCACCAAGGCGACGAUCCGUAACUGGUCUGAGAGGAUGAUCAGUCACACUGGAACUGAGACACGGUCCAGACUCCUACGGGAGGCAGCAGUGGGGAAUAUUGGACAAUGGGCGAAAGCCUGAUCCAGCCAUGCCGCGUGUGUGAAGAAGGUCUUCGGAUUGUAAAGCACUUUAAGUUGGGAGGAAGGGUUGUAGAUUAAUACUCUGCAAUUUUGACGUUACCGACAGAAUAAGCACCGGCUAACUCUGUGCCAGCAGCCGCGGUAAUACAGAGGGUGCAAGCGUUAAUCGGAAUUACUGGGCGUAAAGCGCGCGUAGGUGGUUUGUUAAGUUGGAUGUGAAAUCCCCGGGCUCAACCUGGGAACUGCAUUCAAAACUGACUGACUAGAGUAUGGUAGAGGGUGGUGGAAUUUCCUGUGUAGCGGUGAAAUGCGUAGAUAUAGGAAGGAACACCAGUGGCGAAGGCGACCACCUGGACUAAUACUGACACUGAGGUGCGAAAGCGUGGGGGAGCAAACAGGAUUAGAUACCCUGGUAGUCCACGCCGUAAACGAUGUCAACUAGCCGUUGGAAGCCUUGAGCUUUUAGUGGCGCAGCUAACGCAUUAAGUUGACCGCCUGGGGAGUACGGCCGCAAGGUUAAAACUCAAAUGAAUUGACGGGGGCCCGCACAAGCGGUGGAGCAUGUGGUUUAAUUCGAAGCAACGCGAAGAACCUUACCAGGCCUUGACAUCCAAUGAACUUUCUAGAGAUAGAUUGGUGCCUUCGGGAACAUUGAGACAGGUGCUGCAUGGCUGUCGUCAGCUCGUGUCGUGAGAUGUUGGGUUAAGUCCCGUAACGAGCGCAACCCUUGUCCUUAGUUACCAGCACGUUAUGGUGGGCACUCUAAGGAGACUGCCGGUGACAAACCGGAGGAAGGUGGGGAUGACGUCAAGUCAUCAUGGCCCUUACGGCCUGGGCUACACACGUGCUACAAUGGUCGGUACAGAGGGUUGCCAAGCCGCGAGGUGGAGCUAAUCCCAUAAAACCGAUCGUAGUCCGGAUCGCAGUCUGCAACUCGACUGCGUGAAGUCGGAAUCGCUAGUAAUCGCGAAUCAGAAUGUCGCGGUGAAUACGUUCCCGGGCCUUGUACACACCGCCCGUCACACCAUGGGAGUGGGUUGCACCA
This 1369-nucleotide ribosomal RNA is filed under the name Aeromonas sobria. RNAcentral's name for it is "bacterial SSU rRNA". It matches the Rfam family "Bacterial small subunit ribosomal RNA", at positions 59 to 1422 of the family's 1533-position model. RNAcentral also lists the same sequence under 1 other name. The record is from RNAcentral. Lineage: Bacteria; Pseudomonadati; Pseudomonadota; Gammaproteobacteria; Aeromonadales; Aeromonadaceae.